GAUGAACGCUGGCGGCGUGCCUAAUACAUGCAAGUCGAGCGAACGGACGAGAAGCUUGCUUCUCUGAUGUUAGCGGCGGACGGGUGAGUAACACGUGGAUAACCUACCUAUAAGACUGGGAUAACUUCGGGAAACCGGAGCUAAUACCGGAUGAUAUUUUGAACCGCAUGGUUCAAAAGUGAAAGACGGUCUUGCUGUCACUUAUAGAUGGAUCCGCGCUGCAUUAGCUAGUUGGUAAGGUAACGGCUUACCAAGGCAACGAUGCAUAGCCGACCUGAGAGGGGGAUCGGGCCCACCGGAACCGAGAAACGGGUCAGACUCCCAAGGGGGGGAGCAGUUGGGAAUCUUCCCAAAAGGGGGAAAACCGGACGGGGCAAAGCCGGGUGAGGGAUGAAGGGUUUCGGAUCGGAAAAACUUGUUUUUAGGGAAAAAAAAUUGUGGAAAGAAAUUGGCACAUUUUUAGGGGACCCAAAUAGAAAACCCCGGCGAAAUCAGGG
Molecule: ribosomal RNA, 497 nt
Filed under: uncultured bacterium
Lineage: Bacteria
Description: partial 16S ribosomal RNA
Rfam family: Bacterial small subunit ribosomal RNA
Source: RNAcentral